This is a long non-coding RNA of Lotus japonicus, 399 nucleotides long. RefSeq lists it as uncharacterized. The record is from RefSeq and is a predicted model, not a curated record. The transcript has 3 exons. NCBI's taxonomy places the organism in Eukaryota, Viridiplantae, Streptophyta, Magnoliopsida, Fabales, Fabaceae.
AUUCAUGUGAAAAUUAAGAUUAGAGCCGCAGAAUCUGAGUUUAGUGUCUUAUUAAUCUUUAAUCAAUUAUUUUGUGCUGGAAGGGGAGAAAAAUUUGUAUUGGAGGUGUUUGAUCCGGCGAACUAUGUUAAGAAUGGGACUACUUUCUACUUUCCUUUGAUUCUGUAGGCUGUAACUGAAGAAUAAACAGGAAGGGAAUGAUGCUGCUACUGUUGCAAAGGAGAAACACUCAGCAAAGGAAAAAAAUCAUAAAAGGAAAAAGGGCUUUUCCAUGGGAGAUGUAUGAUGGAGACCAUAGUAAUAGAAGAUUUAAGGAAGAUUUUGGUUUCAUAUAUUAUAAGGCAGUGUUACAAGUAAGAAUAAGCAAGGAACUGCAGAUGAAUUAGAGGAUAGAAGGAG